GGAAGUUAAAAAAUCGUAACAAGGUCUCCGUUGGUGAACCAGCGGAGGGAUCAUUGCUGGAACGCGCUUCGGCGCACCCAGAAACCCUUUGUGAACUUAUACCUAUUGUUGCCUCGGCGUAGGCCGGCCUCUUCACUGAGGCCCCCUGGAAACAGGGAGCAGCCCGCCGGCGGCCAACCAAACUCUUGUUUCUACAGUGAAUCUCUGAGUAAAAAACAUAAAUGAAUCAAAACUUUCAACAACGGAUCUCUUGGUUCUGGCAUCGAUGAAGAACGCAGCGAAAUGCGAUAAGUAAUGUGAAUUGCAGAAUUCAGUGAAUCAUCGAAUCUUUGAACGCACAUUGCGCCCUCUGGUAUUCCGGAGGGCAUGCCUGUUCGAGCGUCAUUUCAACCCUCAAGCCUGGCUUGGUGAUGGGGCACUGCCUGUAAAAGGGCAGGCCCUGAAAUCUAGUGGCGAGCUCGCCAGGACCCCGAGCGUAGUAGUUAUAUCUCGCUCUGGAAGGCCCUGGCGGUGCCCUGCCGUUAAACCCCCAACUUCUGAAAAUUGACCUCGAUCAGUAGA
Molecule: ribosomal RNA, 561 nt
Filed under: Diaporthe phaseolorum
Lineage: Eukaryota; Fungi; Ascomycota; Sordariomycetes; Diaporthales; Diaporthaceae
Description: eukaryotic LSU rRNA
Rfam family: 5.8S ribosomal RNA (bases 231-384)
Source: RNAcentral